This 787-nucleotide long non-coding RNA is filed under the name Cricetulus griseus (Chinese hamster). Its description in RNAcentral is "lncRNA (ENSCGRG00015039598.1)". The record is from RNAcentral. Lineage: Eukaryota; Metazoa; Chordata; Mammalia; Rodentia; Cricetidae.
GGUUACUCCAGUGUGAAGCGGCUUCCAGGCAUCCAUUUCCUUAAGACUACACAAAGAAUCCAUUACUGGAAAACAUCCAAAUCUGCCAGAUAAUUGCCUCGAUCCAUGUUCUCUUCACCUUGGAGGCAAACGUGGGACAAUAUUUUUAAUCCCAGUGCAUCUGCCUGUUCCUAGGCUAGCAUCUGGUUACAGCUGCUUUUUUUUUUUUCAUCUGGAGGGACCUCUUUGGUGCAAACCGAGCCGAACCUGCAGUAUGGCUGCCAUGGCAAGCAAGCUCCGGGCUAGGGACUUCUUUGGUGCAAACUGAGCGGAUCCUGCAGUAUGGCUGCCAUGGCAAGCAAGCUCCGGGCUAGGGUGAACAGAGUGAGAAAGGCUUCCACUAUGAUCUCUGGUUGUGUCUACAUCUUAGAGUUCCAGGAACUCUGAAGAACCAUCUUGCCUUGUUGUGACAAAGUUCAACAGUCAAUUUCCUGUGGGUCCUGCAUGUCCAGUUUAUACAACAUACUGUCAAGCAGUCCAGGCAAGAGCAGCUUGCCACAAUGAAAACAAACUUCUAUGGAGUUUCUUUGAUGCCCAUCAUCCUUUAUGAAGUAAAUUGCUAUUGCCAGGAACAAAUGUGUCUCAUUGUCAUGAAAAGCCCUAAAUUAACAAAACAUUUUAAAUGCCAUAUUCUGUAGGUCUUUGAAAGGUUUGAAGACCAUCUAUCUAAAAUACAUCAAUUUAACCUAGAAAACAUACCUAACAUAUCUACAAAAAUAGUUAUAAAUGACUAGCUACUAAACUAUGC